RNAcentral lists this ribosomal RNA (429 nucleotides) under Bacteroidota bacterium. RNAcentral's name for it is "Bacteroidetes bacterium partial 16S ribosomal RNA". It matches the Rfam family "Bacterial small subunit ribosomal RNA", at positions 355 to 776 of the family's 1533-position model. Lineage: Bacteria; Pseudomonadati; Bacteroidota. The record is from RNAcentral.
UAGGGAAUCUUCCGCAAUGGACGCAAGUCUGACGGAGCAACGCCGCGUGAGUGAAGAAGGAUUUCGGUUCGUAAAACUCUGUUGUUAGAGAAGAACAGCGCAUAGAGUAACUGUUAUGCGUGUGACGGUAUCUAACCAGAAAGCCACGGCUAACUACGUGCCAGCAGCCGCGGUAAUACGUAGGUGGCAAGCGUUGUCCGGAUUUAUUGGGCGUAAAGCGAGCGCAGGCGGUCAAUUAAGUCUGAUGUGAAAGCCCCCGGCUCAACCGGAGAGUGUCAUUGGAAACUGGUUGAGGUGAGUGCAGAAGAGGAGAGUGGAAUUCCAUAGGUGGCGGUGAAAUGCGUAGAUAUAUGGAGGAACGCCAGUGGCGAAGGCGACUCUCUGGUCUGUAACUGAAGCUGAGGCUCGAAAGCGUGGGUAGCAGACAGG